This 144-nucleotide unclassified non-coding RNA is filed under the name uncultured Devriesia. Its description in RNAcentral is "sequence contains ITS1". Lineage: Eukaryota; Fungi; Ascomycota; Dothideomycetes; Mycosphaerellales; Teratosphaeriaceae. The record is from RNAcentral.
UCAGAGAUGGCGGGCCCCCGCGCCCCCGUCCCCAACCCUUUGUUGACCAAACCACUGUUGCCUCGGGGGCAGAGCGGCCUCCGCCGCCCCCGGUGGACCAUUUAACCCUGUCUCUGUACGUCGGAGUCUUUGAUAAAUAUAUGA